This 662-nucleotide ribosomal RNA is filed under the name Spadella cephaloptera. RNAcentral describes it as "partial 16S ribosomal RNA". The record is from RNAcentral. Lineage: Eukaryota; Metazoa; Chaetognatha; Sagittoidea; Phragmophora; Spadellidae.
UUUUUGUAUUACGACUAAAGGACCCGAAUUUGGGUGAUCUAAUAUCAUAUUUUUUUCUCAUCGAAAAGAGAAUUAAAAAACUUUAGCUCCAAAAAAGAUAACCGGACCCAAAAUACUGAUAAUGACAACAAUAAGGAAAUUAAUAAUAUAAAAAUUUACCAAUGAGGGUAAUCUUAAAUAAAAUAUUUUCAAAAAAAUUUUAAAAAAAAAAUAGUCAUUUUUAUAAAAUCUUUAGAAUUAAAAAAUAUUAAAAAGAACUCAAAAUAAAUUAUAUCCCCGACUGUUUAACAAAAACAUUUCUUCGAAUUAAUAUUAGAAGUAAGCCCUGCUCAAAUAAAUAUUUAAAAAAGCCAUUUUAUUGCAAAGGUAGCGUAAUUACUAGCCGCUUAAUUAGCGGAUUGUCUGAACGGGUUAACGCGGGAUAAAUUUUCUUUUAAUUAAAAAAAUAAGUCAGAGGUUAAAUCUCCUCUAACAUUAGAACAGACGAUAAGACCCUUUAAUCUUAAUCUUUAGUUGGGGCAACUAAGGUGGUUAUAACCUUCUAAUACAUUAUAAAAUCUUUCAUUUGCAAAAAAGAUACUAAAGGGAUAACAGCAUAAUAUUUUCUUAGAAGAUCUCAUUUUAAGAAAAGAGUAUGACCUCGAUGUUGAACCAGAGAAAAU